GACAGAGGUGCCGAGCGUUAGGCGGAAUCACUGGGCUUAAAGCGUGUGUAGGCGGGCCCGUAAGUACCUUGUGAAAUCCCACCGCUCAACGGUGGAACUGCUCGGUAUACUGCGGGUCUUGAGCCACCUAGGGGCAGCCGGAACAAGCGGUGGAGCGGUGAAAUGCGUAGAGAUCGGGAGGAACACCAGAGGCGAAGGCGGCCACCUGGACAAGCACUGACACUCAACUGCGAAAGCGUGGGGAGCAAACAGG
This 253-nucleotide ribosomal RNA is filed under the name uncultured bacterium. Its description in RNAcentral is "partial 16S ribosomal RNA". It matches the Rfam family "Bacterial small subunit ribosomal RNA", at positions 524 to 776 of the family's 1533-position model. The record is from RNAcentral.